RNAcentral lists this long non-coding RNA (227 nucleotides) under Lathyrus oleraceus (garden pea). Its description in RNAcentral is "Pisum sativum (pea) long non-coding RNA (PSAT_LNC000741)". The record is from RNAcentral. Lineage: Eukaryota; Viridiplantae; Streptophyta; Magnoliopsida; Fabales; Fabaceae.
AAAAUUCAUGUUAAGGUCAAAUUGAUUUGGAGUCUUGAUCAUAGAGAAAAUUGGCAACGAAGGUAGCUGCUUACUAACACCAAACUUGCCAAAAAUAGCAAGUUUCUAAAACCAUAAUUUCCAAUUUAAGCAACUUUCUAUAAUUCUUGAUUUUUGAUGAAUCUCUUGACUUUUCUUCACCAAAUUUCAACCAUACACCAUAUUUGACUUGUGGAAAACAAUUUUAA